This 378-nucleotide ribosomal RNA is filed under the name uncultured bacterium. Its description in RNAcentral is "bacterial SSU rRNA". It matches the Rfam family "Bacterial small subunit ribosomal RNA", at positions 30 to 402 of the family's 1533-position model. The record is from RNAcentral.
AGCGAACGCUGGCGGCAUGCCUAACACAUGCAAGUCUGACGGGCCUGGGGCUUGCUCCGGGUCAGUGGCGGACGGGUGAGGAACGCGUAGGAACGUAUCCAAGGGUGGGGGAUAACCGCGCGAAACUGCGGCUAAUACCGCAUGGGGCCUCAAGGGAGACCUGGGGGCCGAAAGGCUGAGGGAAACCUUGGUCGCCGAUGGAGCGGCCUGCGUCCGAUUAGCUAGUUGGUGGGGUGACGGCUACCAAGGCUACGAUCGGUAGCUGGUCUGAGAGGAUGAUCAGCCACACUGGGACUGAGACACGGCCCAGACUCCUACGGGAGGCAGCAGUGGGGAGUAUUGGACAAUGGGCGAAAGCCUGAUCCAGCAAUGCCGCGU